This 253-nucleotide ribosomal RNA is filed under the name uncultured bacterium. RNAcentral's name for it is "partial 16S ribosomal RNA". It matches the Rfam family "Bacterial small subunit ribosomal RNA", at positions 524 to 776 of the family's 1533-position model. The record is from RNAcentral.
UACGUAGGGUGCGAGCGUUAAUCGGAAUUACUGGGCGUAGAGCGUGCGCAGGCGGUUCGUUGUGUCGGUGGUGAAAUCCCCGGGCUUAACCUGGGAAUGGCCAUGGAAACUGGCGAACUGGAGUGCGGCAGAGGGGGGUGGAAUUCCGCGUGUAGCAGUGAAAUGCGUAGAGAUGCGGAGGAACACCGAUGGCGAAGGCAGCCCCCUGGGCUAGCACUGACGCUCAGGCACGAAAGCGUGGGGAGCAAACAGG